AAUAAAUACACAUGGUAAAAUGAAAGAAACAAUCAUUGUUAAAAAGCAUUUGAUUAAAACCACAGUGUUUUGCUUGUUUUUAAAAGUCCAUUAUUGAGGUGUGUUUAAAAGGUGCGGUCAGUUCCAAAAGUAAAAUACAAAUUUUUAAAAAAAGCAAACAAGCCUCGUAUAUAUAUAUGUUAAUAAAACCUCUUUCAUAAUAAAACAAUAAA
Long non-coding RNA from Carassius gibelio (silver crucian carp), 212 nucleotides. RefSeq lists it as uncharacterized. The transcript is spliced from 2 exons. NCBI's taxonomy places the organism in Eukaryota, Metazoa, Chordata, Actinopteri, Cypriniformes, Cyprinidae. The record is from RefSeq and is a predicted model, not a curated record.